AUGGCCAGGAGUAGCUCGAACCUGUCAAAAUAACAAAUACAAAAUAAUUUGUUCACUGAUGGAUGAAAUGACAAUCUGCAAAAAACAGGAACAAGAUAAUACAGCUGUUGUGCUUAAUUCUGCACAAUCUGCAUAGAUGCAGCUGCAGUUGUGAAAAUCACUAGAGUUAAAGCUAUGGCAAUGAAACAAGUAGUAUGUACCUACAACAAUUACAAUACAGCUAGUAUGCACCCUUUAUGGACAAAAAUGGCCAAAAACCAGCGAGGCUAAGCUAAGGGCUACACACCCAGAACAAAUACAAAAGUUUGCCACAAAUUUUUAAAGAACCUUACUCUAAUUACUAUUAGUUAUAACAAAAUAAACAG
This 365-nucleotide unclassified non-coding RNA is filed under the name Hevea brasiliensis (rubber tree). Lineage: Eukaryota; Viridiplantae; Streptophyta; Magnoliopsida; Malpighiales; Euphorbiaceae. The record is from RNAcentral.